This 362-nucleotide ribosomal RNA is filed under the name uncultured bacterium. Its description in RNAcentral is "bacterial SSU rRNA". It matches the Rfam family "Bacterial small subunit ribosomal RNA", at positions 29 to 386 of the family's 1533-position model. The record is from RNAcentral.
AUUGAACGCUGGCGGCAUGCCUUACACAUGCAAGUCGAACGGCAGCACGGGGGCAACCCUGGUGGCGAGUGGCGAACGGGUGAGUAAUGCAUCGGAACGUGCCCAGUAGUGGGGGAUAGCCCGGCGAAAGCCGGAUUAAUACCGCAUACGUACUGAGGUAGAAAGCGGGGGACCGAAAGGCCUCGCGCUAUUGGAGCGGCCGAUGUCGGAUUAGCUUGUUGGUGGGGUAAUGGCCUACCAAGGCGACGAUCCGUAACUGGUCUGAGAGGACGACCAGUCACACUGGGACUGAGACACGGCCCAGACUCCUACGGGAGGCAGCAGUGGGGGAAUUUUGGUACAAUAGGGCGGCAAGACCUCGA